ACGCGGAAUGGUACUGCCGCGACUAGCCAGCCCAGCAUUCCAAGAAUACGCGUGCACGCUGAACGCGAAUAAUCGGCGAGCCUUUGGAAUUACUCGCCGCCGCUGGAGGCUCGAAAUUGUUCGCCGUUCGCCGUUGCUCCCCCUCUGAACCGGCGGCAAUAACGUGAAAGGAAAAUAUCUGACUAGAAUACUGGCCCGAAACAGGCUUGAAGAGAAAACUCGAACCGAUCCACUGGCCAGUGCGAAUUCCAACCGGUCAACUUUACCACGCUCGUUGAACAACAAUUCACACGAGGCUGGCGCUGAUUUAACGCAUUCGUAACCGAUGUCCAGACGUCUUGGAACGGCGACCAAUCGUUUUCAACUCCGCCAGCGAGAAUACUUUUAAAUGUUCAGAGCCUUCGGCAGAGGAAGCUAAAUUAUUGAACUCCAAAGUAGAGAAAGGGAACAUUGAUUUUCAGUGACUUGAAUGAAAUUCAAUAACAUUUGUAUCUAGGGUAGGAGAGCUUGAUGUUCGAAAUGACUUCCGUCUACAAAGAGUCAAUGCUAAAUGACUAUGUGCAGGGUAAUUCCGGGUGAGAUAGUCAUUUAAAUUGUCAUACAGAGUGUCUCAAACGUGUCGCUACCACAAAGAAAAAUACGUUAAUGUGGUUUGUUUUAAACAUUGAAAGCAAAUUGUGCAAUGUUAAUAAGCACUUUACAAACGAGCUUUCAUAAAAUAUAUUCUCUAUUCUCCGGAGCUCUCGAAUUACUUGAAAACGAUUAUAAUUAGUAAGGUAAGCUGUCUCGCUGAGAGGACACUGGAAUGGGACUUCAGCGACAGGACAGGAUGUUCAACCAUGAAAACCUGAAGUCUCCAGACUUUUUUUACUGUACAACGAACGAGUCCCUGGCUACGACCCCGAGCAGCCAGGGCAAACGCACUCAGACUCGAGUCAUUAUGCUGAUUGUACACGCACUCGAGGCAGCGGCAUUCUGUUUAACGGUGAUACCAGCGAGGAGCUCGCUGACGCGUACUCCGCAACACCUGUUGAUCCUCGCUAGAUCAACCCUUUUACUAUCCAGCAGCAAUGAGUAAUCUUUUCAGUUAUUGGCAAGUGGACAAGCUUGGUAAUUCUUCUCAACAGCACCGAGGUAUUCGGAUUUAGCUCAGUUAAUUUUUAGCCAACGUGAUUGACAGUAUGGAUCUCUUAUAUUCAGGCUUAUCGAUAUCCUUUAUACGUGUUGCAAUAGAAAAACGCCUGCAGCGGAAAG
Nomia melanderi (Alkali bee) is the source of this 1254-nucleotide non-coding RNA. The record is from RefSeq and is a predicted model, not a curated record. NCBI's taxonomy places the organism in Eukaryota, Metazoa, Arthropoda, Insecta, Hymenoptera, Halictidae.